GACGAACGCUGGCGGCGUGCUUAACACAUGCAAGUCGAGCGGUAAGGCCCUUUUGGGGGUACACGAGCGGCGAACGGGUGAGUAACACGUGGGUGACCUGCCCUCAGCUCUGGGAUAAGCCUGGGAAACUGGGUCUAAUACUGGAUAUGACCUUUCCUCGCAUGGGGUUGGGGUGGAAAGUUUUCGGCUGGGGAGUGGCCCGCGGCCUAUCAGCUUGUUGGUGGGGUGAUGGCCUACCAAGGCGACGACGGGUAGCCGGCCUGAGAGGGCGACCGGCCACACUGGGACUGAGACACGGCCCAGACUCCUACGGGAGGCAGCAGUGGGGAAGUAUUGCGCAAUGGGCGGAAGCCUGACGCAGCGACGCCGCGUGGGGGAUGA
RNAcentral lists this ribosomal RNA (381 nucleotides) under uncultured bacterium. Its description in RNAcentral is "bacterial SSU rRNA". It matches the Rfam family "Bacterial small subunit ribosomal RNA", at positions 28 to 411 of the family's 1533-position model. The record is from RNAcentral.